UUUUAGUUAGUACAACGGAGUUCUGGUCGAACGAUUCGUCAGAGGAUGAGAGCUUAGAAAAAGGGCCAGGAGCAGAAAACGUUUAAAAGCAAAAACAG
Molecule: long non-coding RNA, 98 nt
Organism: Rhagoletis zephyria (snowberry fruit fly)
Lineage: Eukaryota; Metazoa; Arthropoda; Insecta; Diptera; Tephritidae
Source: RefSeq, a predicted model, not a curated record